RNAcentral lists this ribosomal RNA (522 nucleotides) under Triticum aestivum (bread wheat). Its description in RNAcentral is "partial small subunit ribosomal RNA". The record is from RNAcentral. Lineage: Eukaryota; Viridiplantae; Streptophyta; Magnoliopsida; Poales; Poaceae.
AUGGCACCGUCCUCAUUGCAGCAUGACGCGACGGCCGUCGUCGCUUCCUCGAGAGUCAGCGGCGAGCAGAGCUCCGCGAGGGCGGGGUCGAAGAUGGGCACGCGGUACGGCAGCUCCUCCUCGUCGGUCUCCACGUCGCACUUCUGCUCCUCCGGCGAGUCCCCGCCGGACGCCUGCGGCACGACGAGCCGCCUCGAGAGCAGGCGCCCGACGCUCUUGGCCUGCGAGCGCGGGGUCCGCGCCUUGCGCUUGAACCACGCCGGCACGACCUCGUCGCCGCGGCGCCUCUCCCGCGGGGCCGCACCAGGGAGCAGCGGCGACGUGGGCCGCAGGCGCACCCGCUCGUGCCUCCGCGCGAGAGGGUUCGCGGAGUGCACCGAGGUGUCGCACCCCUGGCACAGGAACGCGUCGUCCGCCGCGCAGUACCACCUCGCCCGCCGCCGCAGGCAGCCGUCGCACGCCCGCGCCGCCUUGCUCCCCAUCGCGCCGUCCGCCGCCUUCCCCGAGCAGCUCAUCAAAUGA